RNAcentral lists this small nuclear RNA (104 nucleotides) under Fukomys damarensis (Damara mole-rat). Lineage: Eukaryota; Metazoa; Chordata; Mammalia; Rodentia; Bathyergidae. The record is from RNAcentral.
GUGCUUGCUUGGGCGGUACAUACCCUAAAAUUAGAAUGAUACAGAAAAGGUUGUCAUGGCACUUGCACAAGAAUGAUCUGCAAACUGAGGCCCUCCAUGUGGGU